This 897-nucleotide ribosomal RNA is filed under the name uncultured bacterium. RNAcentral describes it as "bacterial SSU rRNA". It matches the Rfam family "Bacterial small subunit ribosomal RNA", at positions 21 to 894 of the family's 1533-position model. The record is from RNAcentral.
GGCUCAGAACGAACACUGGCGGCGUGCCUAACACAUGCAAGUCGAACGGAUUUGAGGGGCUUGCUCCUCAAGUUAGUGGCGCACGGGUGAGUAACGCGUAGAUAAUCUGCCUGAUGAUUCGGGAUAACACUUCGAAAGGGGUGCUAAUACCGGAUAAGCCCACGUGGUCUUUGGAUCGUGCGGGAAAAGGGGGGGACCUUCGGGCCUUCUGUCAUCAGAUGAGUCUGCGUACCAUUAGCUAGUUGGUAGGGUAAUGGCCUACCAAGGCUACGAUGGUUAGCUGGUUUGAGAGAAUGAUCAGCCACACUGGAACUGAGACACGGUCCAGACUCCUACGGGAGGCAGCAGUGGGGAAUUUUGCGCAAUGGGCGAAAGCUUGACGCAGCAACGCCGCGUGAGUGAUGAAGGCUUUCGGGUCGUAAAGCUCUGUCGAGGGGAAAGAAGUGUACGGGGGCUAAUAUCCUCUGUACUUGACGGUACCCCUAAAGGAAGCACCGGCUAACUCCGUGCCAGCAGCCGCGGUAAUACGGGGGGUGCAAGCGUUGUUCGGAAUUAUUGGGCGUAAAGAGCGUGUAGGCGGUUUGUUAAGUCUGAUGUGAAAGCCCUGGGCUCAACCCAGGAAGUGCAUUGGAAACUGGCAGACUUGAAUACGGGAGAGGGCAGUGGAAUUCCUAGUGUAGGAGUGAAAUCCGUAGAUAUUAGGAGGAACACCGGUGGCGAAGGCGGCUGCCUGGACCGAUAUUGACGCUGAGACGCGAAAGCGUGGGUAGCAAACAGGAUUAGAUACCCUGGUAGUCCACGCCGUAAACGAUGAGAACUAGGUGUUGCGGGUAUUGACCCCUGCAGUGCCGCAGCUAACGCAUUAAGUUCUCCGCCUGGGAAGUACGGUCGCAAGAC